Molecule: long non-coding RNA, 630 nt
Organism: Hemiscyllium ocellatum (epaulette shark)
Lineage: Eukaryota; Metazoa; Chordata; Chondrichthyes; Orectolobiformes; Hemiscylliidae
Exons: 5
Source: RefSeq, a predicted model, not a curated record
CAGUGAUUAAUGCCAAAGCCCUGUUGCCUGUGGAGAGGGUGAUGUUUGACUUCCUUGUACAGCUGCAGUUUGUGUGGUGAAGGUGCUCCCACAAUGUCGCUGGGUGGACAUUCAGAUGGUAACCUCAGUAUUUGUAACACCAAACUCUGACAGAAUUACUCAAUUCAUCAGGACCUGGAUAUUUGCAUUUAGUUCGAAUCCCCCUUACCUGCAACACUUUGGACUGAGAGAGGAAACCAGAGCAUCCAGAGGAAGGCCACCGCAGACACACACUUGGAGAAUGGUACUGAAAGGGUGGAUUUGUGGAUGAGAAAUUCAAAUUGAGCUUUCUGUUCAGACCCGAUGGUUACUGGAUCCGUGCCGAUCUGAAUAUCAUUGGCCUUCUCAUCUGGAAGGAAAGGGUGCUGGAUGGUGAAGAUUUACAGACUGAAAUCUCAAACUCGUGCAGAUUGUGAUUAAGUUAACCAGUGUUUGAAGAACCAAGGAUAGAGAAUCACUCAGCCAAAAUCCUGCACACUCUCCCUCGCAGCAUUGUCGGUCUCUCUGCGCCACAUAGGCUGUGAAUGGUUCAAGACAGCAGCUCACUACCAUCUUCUCAAGGGUAACUGGAGAUGGGGAAUAAAUGCUGGC